CUGCUGCCUUCCGUAGGAGUCUGGGCCGUGUCUCAGUCCCAAUGUGGCCGUCCACCCUCUCAGGCCGGCUACUGAUCGUUGCCUUGGUGUGCUUUUACCACUCCAACUAGCUAAUCAGACGCGGGUCCAUCUCAUACCAGAUUUCUCCUUUUCACACAAAAACAUGCGUUCCCGUGCGCUUAUGCGGUUUUACCACCAGUUUCCCGAUGCUAUCCCCCUGUAUGAGGCAGGUUGCCCACGCGUUACUCACCCG
RNAcentral lists this ribosomal RNA (253 nucleotides) under uncultured bacterium. Its description in RNAcentral is "partial 16S ribosomal RNA". The record is from RNAcentral.